UGCUUAUGCUACUCAUUUGUUCUCUUACCUAUUUCAGCUCCUGGUUUCUUUGUUCUUUGCUGGAUUAUUCCAUUUCUGCUCAGUUGCUAUGUCCAUUCCUAUGCCUGUCUCCAUAGCUAUUUAAGUCCCUGCUUCAUCUCCGGACUAGUUUCAAGCUGCCUUGAAGGAACACCACAGCAGGCUCUCUGAAGCUGAUGUAUGUGUGUGUAGAAACGAUGUUUCCCUCAUUUUCUUACUCAUGUUACCUGGAAAUAACGAUGGAUCAUGUGCAGGGAAUUCUAUCAGACAGGACGGACAGCUCCCACUCUAACCCCAAGCUCAACAGCUACUGUUAGCUCUACCUCAUGGUUUUCUACUUCAGGGCUGUCUGCCUCAGGGCCAGACCAAAGUCCUGCCCCAGAUUCAGCUGUAUCAAAAGGAGAGAUGUGGACUGAUUUUGACAUACAUGUUUUGUUAGGACAAUAUCACCAGUCAGCUGCCAGUGAUGUGGUCAUUGAAGUACGUCGGUACUCAGAAGAAAAAGUGAUUCCCCGAGAUAGGGAUGUACUGGUUUGGUGGAAAGAGCAUGAACCAACCUUCCCAGCCCUGAGCAAACUAGCAGUGAGAUACUUGGGAAUUACUGAAGUGGCAGUAAUUCCCAGGUAUCUCACUGCUUGUCACUGCUGCCACUUCUGUACCGGAAGAGAAAGUCUUUUCAAAGGCAGGAGAGGUUCUGAGCAAACAACGGAACUUGUGAUUGAGGGAAAGUCUCAGACUUUGAUGCUUUUUUUAAAGGGUUAUUUACAUGUUCAGCAUUGUCAUACAAACAUGUUCAUGUAAUUUUCAUACAUUUUGUAUGAUUAUGUCCUCUUUUUUGUGUUGUUGUUUUAGCUUGCCUAUAUUGUAAAUGAGGUCGCUACCUCGAUGUACUUUAAACUAAAUAAAUUACUCUGACGUCUUGUAUUCUGUA
This is a long non-coding RNA of Girardinichthys multiradiatus, 949 nucleotides long. RefSeq lists it as uncharacterized. NCBI's taxonomy places the organism in Eukaryota, Metazoa, Chordata, Actinopteri, Cyprinodontiformes, Goodeidae. The transcript has 3 exons. The record is from RefSeq and is a predicted model, not a curated record.